UACGGAGGGUGCAAGCGUUAAUCGGAAUUACUGGGCGUAAAGCGUGCGCAGGCGGUUUGUUAAGUCCGUUGUGAAAUCCCCGAGCUCAACUUGGGAAUUGCAAUGGAUACUGGCAAGCUGGAGUAUGGUAGAGGAAGGUGGAAUUCCCGGUGUAGCAGUGAAAUGCGUAGAGAUGUGGAGGAACACCGAUGGCGAAGGCAGCCCCCUGGGCUGAGAUUGACGCUCAGGCACGAAAGCGUGGGGAGCAAACAGG
Molecule: ribosomal RNA, 253 nt
Filed under: uncultured bacterium
Lineage: Bacteria
Description: partial 16S ribosomal RNA
Rfam family: Bacterial small subunit ribosomal RNA
Source: RNAcentral